GGAGGUUCUAAAUUUACAAAUCAGUUCUGUUCCAAAAGUGCAUUUCAAAGUCAGUUGUCUAGAACUUGGAAAAUAUUUUCUUAUAGAAACAGAGGUGCCGAUGGUGGCUAGCUUCGCAGACCAGCCUACCAAGGCCCAUUUAAUCCACAGCGUACUGGAAUUAUGGAACUAAUGGUUCUCUAUCAGCUUUGCUUUACUAACAGGACUGCAUAACGGGUGUCUUUAGUACUGACAAGAUGGUAACCUCACCUGCGGGGAAUUCAACUGCCUGCCAGCCCUACCCUUGGGAAACACAGGAACUGGAAAGUGAGCAAAAGUGGCCUUUGCACACGGAGAAGAGGUAUCUCCAAUUUUUCUUGAUCUCAAUACAGCGUAAACUUCACGAAGGAAGGGGCCUUCUUUUUUGUUUUUUGUUUCUUGCUGUAUCCCCAGCACAUAGUGGCACGUAGUAGGUGCUUGAUAAAUAGUUCUUACGUGGACCAAAGUGUGAACCUCUGCUGGCUUUGUCAAGGAAGGGACCCUCUGGCUUAGAAUGUAGUUACAAUUAUGUAGCAUGUAGUUCUAGCAGGUCUGCUUGUUUUGUUUCCAGGCCUGUUGUAUUUAGAAAUAACGCAUUAAGGCUGAGGUAGAC
This 631-nucleotide long non-coding RNA is filed under the name Marmota monax (woodchuck). Lineage: Eukaryota; Metazoa; Chordata; Mammalia; Rodentia; Sciuridae. The record is from RNAcentral.